UGGGGUAUAGCUCCGUGGUAGAGCACAUGCAUGCAUGAGGUCCUGGGUUCAAUUCCUAGUACCUCCA
This 67-nucleotide transfer RNA is filed under the name Camelus bactrianus (Bactrian camel). It matches the Rfam family "tRNA". Rfam says of the family: Transfer RNA (tRNA) molecules are approximately 80 nucleotides in length. RNAcentral also lists the same sequence under 2 other names. Lineage: Eukaryota; Metazoa; Chordata; Mammalia; Artiodactyla; Camelidae. The record is from Rfam by way of RNAcentral.